This 228-nucleotide ribosomal RNA is filed under the name uncultured bacterium. RNAcentral describes it as "partial 16S ribosomal RNA". It matches the Rfam family "Bacterial small subunit ribosomal RNA", at positions 99 to 334 of the family's 1533-position model. The record is from RNAcentral.
CGCACGGGUGAGUAACACGUAGGUUAUCUACCAAGGGGCGGGGGAUAACCGGAAGAAAUUCCGGCUAAUACCGCAUACGAACGUAAGUUGAAAGGAUGCUUCGGCAUUCACCCUUUGAUGAGCCUGCGGGACAUUAGCUUGAUGGUGGGGGUAAUGGCCUACCAUGGCGACGAUGUCUAGCUGGUCUGAGAGGACGAUCAGUCACACUGGAACUGAGACACGGUCCAG